This 264-nucleotide ribosomal RNA is filed under the name uncultured bacterium. Its description in RNAcentral is "partial 16S ribosomal RNA". It matches the Rfam family "Bacterial small subunit ribosomal RNA", at positions 793 to 1055 of the family's 1533-position model. The record is from RNAcentral.
GUCCACGCCCUAAACGAUGUCGACUAGUCGUUCGGAGCAGCAGUGCACUGAGUGACGUAGCUAACGCGUGAAGUCGACCGCCUGGGGAGUACGGCCGCAAGGUUAAAACUCAAAGGAAUUGACGGGGACCCGCACAAGCGGUGGAUGAUGUGGAUUAAUUCGAUGCAACGCGAAAAACCUUACCUACCCUUGACAUGUCUGGAACCCUGGUGAGAGCCGGGGGUGCCUUCGGGAGCCAGAACACAGGUGCUGCAUGGCUGUCGU